GUCUUUUUGAUUAUAAUUUAAGGUUUAAUCUGCUCAAUGAUAGAUUAAAUAGCCGCAGUAUUUUGACUGUGCGAAGGUAGCAUGAUAAUUAGUUUAUUAAUUGUAAACUUGUAUGAAUGAUUGGACGAGAAAAUUUCUGUCUCUUUUUAAUUUUUUAUUUAAUUUAACUUUUAAGUUAAAAGGCUUAAAUUUAUGUUAAAGACGAGAAGACCCCAUAGAGUUUAAUUUUUUAUAAUAUUUAGAAAAAAUAAUUAAAUAAUAAAAAUUAGUUGGGGUGACUUAAAGAUUUAAUUAACUCUUUAAAUUAAAAUCAUAGAUUAGUGAAUUUUAAAUCUGGAGAUUUUCAAUUUUAAAUUAAGUUACCUUGGGGAUAACAGCGUAAUUUCUUUUAGAGUUCUUAUCGAAGAAGAAGAUUGCGACCUCGAUGUUGGAUUAAAGAAAAAAUAAGGCGCAGAAGUCUUAUUAUUAAGUCUGUUCGACUUUUUAAACUUU
This 492-nucleotide ribosomal RNA is filed under the name Lucidina okadai. RNAcentral's name for it is "partial 16S rRNA". It matches the Rfam family "Archaeal large subunit ribosomal RNA", at positions 1958 to 2666 of the family's 2987-position model. Lineage: Eukaryota; Metazoa; Arthropoda; Insecta; Coleoptera; Lampyridae. The record is from RNAcentral.